RNAcentral lists this ribosomal RNA (408 nucleotides) under uncultured bacterium. Its description in RNAcentral is "partial 16S ribosomal RNA". It matches the Rfam family "Bacterial small subunit ribosomal RNA", at positions 28 to 526 of the family's 1533-position model. The record is from RNAcentral.
GACGAACGCUGGCGGCGUGCCUAACACAUGCAAGUCGAACGAAGUGGCGGACGGGUGAGUAACGCGUAAUAAACUUGCCCUUCAGCGGGGGACAACAGUUGGAAAGGCUUCCUAAUACCGCAUACUGAAGGAGGGGAUUGCGUCUGAUUGGCGAGUUGGAGGGGUAAGGGCCCACCAAGGCGAUGAUCAGGAGCCGGUCUGAGAGGAUGGACGGCCAGCAUGGGACUGGGACACGGCCCAGACGCCUACGGGAGGCAGCAGUGGGGAAUCUUCCGCAAUGGGCGAAAGUCUGACGGAGCAACGGCGCGGGAGUGAUGACGGCCGUCGGGUUGUAAAGCUCUGUUAAUCGGGACGCGGUACCGGAAUAGAAAGCCACGGCUAACUACGUGCCAGCAGCCGCGGUAAUUC